UGAGGAAUAUUGGACAAUGGAGGCAACUCUGAUCCAGCCAUGCCGCGUGAAGGACUAAGGCCCUAUGGGCUGUAAACUUCUUUAGACGCAGAGCAAUAAGGUCCACGUGUGGACCGAUGAGAGUAGCAUACGAAUAAGCAUCGGCUAACUCCGUGCCAGCAGCCGCGGUAAUACGGAGGAUGCAAGCGUUAUCCGGAUUCAUUGGGUUUAAAGGGUGCGUAGGCGGCUUGGUAAGUCAGCGGUGAAAUUCCAGUGCUCAACAUUGGCCGUGCCGUUGAUACUGCUGGGCUUGAAUGCGGAUGCCGUGGGAGGAAUGUGUGGUGUAGCGGUGAAAUGCAUAGAUAUCACACAGAACACCGAUUGCGAAGGCAUCUCACGAAU
Molecule: ribosomal RNA, 381 nt
Filed under: uncultured bacterium
Lineage: Bacteria
Description: bacterial SSU rRNA
Rfam family: Bacterial small subunit ribosomal RNA
Source: RNAcentral